GUGUGUGUGUGUGUGUGUCUCUGUGUACAUUUUUUUACUUUUUUCACCUCAACCCUCAGUUCAGAGACUUAAACCAAUUCAAGGACCUAGGUGGGUAUGGAAGGUGUGUUACAGAGGCAACUGGUCUCUGAAUCAGCAGAUUACACAUCACUGUACUGCAGUCUAGGUGAGCUUUCAAGAUUAAGACAUCUGUCUCUUACUUACAAGAAUAACUCAUGUUCUGAUUGUCCUGUUUGAAAGUACACAAUCUUGUCUUUAAGUAUCUAAUUACAGCAUGUGUUUUGAGAUAAACCUGAAAGUAUAAAUAAUAGGUUAUUUCCAUCUAAACGUCCAGCUCUUCCAUUUGGGGUUGAGAACAAUCUCCCCUUACAGCAAUUAUUCUGGCUAAACCAUCUUGUUAAAGAGAUAGAUGACCCAGACCCCUUAAUCUUAUAUGUGGAAUUACAAGUAAAAUAGUGAAUUUUCAAUACUGAUUAUAGAGUCUGUAUUUCAAUACUAAUUAUUGAGAGAGUUAGAAAAUUAUAAUGUCUCUUUUCAACUUCAGAUCAUUUCAGCUCUGUAUGAAUCAUUGUGAAAUAAAAGCAACACACAAUUUUUUCUUAUAUAUAUGUUACUUGAAGAGAACUGGGAAUAUUAUUUGGUGCAUACAUUGUAAACACACAGGCUUGUAAAUACAGAUUGGUCAAUUCCAUCUUUUAAAAGAAAAACUUCAUGGUUUUUGCUUUAUUUAUUUUCUAAGAUGUUUUAAAUAAGGAAAAACUAUAAAAGCCAUCCUUGUUGUGGUUUUUAUGGUCUUCUAUCACUGAAGACUUUUUUUACAUGUGACAUAUAUCAAAAAUAGCAGUUUAAUAAAUUCAAGAGACACCUUAAUCAGAAGGCAAAUAAGGAGUAUGAAUGCCACUGCUAAAGAAACAAAACCUGCUUGGUACUAAAUUUUUAUCAUUUCAACAAAAGAAAUUCAGGAAAACUUCAAAAGUACAAACAAACAAACAAAAACAACCCACAGAUGUUAAAAAUGUGUAAAAGAGUUCUGUCGUUUCAGAAUAUAAAAAGAGUAUACUUUUCAGAAUAUAAAAAGAGAAUACUUUACUGAAAUUCAGAAAUUGCAUUCUCCCUGUCCAGGUGCACUACAUAGAGGGCAACAGAACCCCAUAGCCCAUUAAAUACCAUGUUGCUAACAAUAGGUCAUAUGUUUUGUACUGAUGUUACAAGGACUCAGAAAUUAGCUUUGCCGGGAUUACUUUGUACUUUUCUUGACCUGCCCAGAACAUUGUUUUAGAUUGUUUAGCUGUAAAAGAUUGACUAGGGGUCUAUCACUUUUUUGCUUUAUUUUUGUACAACUCUGUAUUAUAUAACUGUAAUCCUGUACUUACUCUUGCAAAAAAUAGAACAAAAUAUUCAUGGCUCUAACAUAAUAGCGUAAAGAAGGCUUGGUAUGUCAGUGGAAGCUUUAAAAGCAGGUUGAAAACUGUGUAGAAUGUAGAGGAGUCCAGGUAUGGGAUGGUAAGAGAAGUGACCCAGGGUUGGCCCUAGAGAGCCUAGACCUGUAAACUCAACUACGGACAAUUAAAGGAAUGCAGGGUAACAAGAAGAAAAGCAAGUAUAUCCAGUAUAUGCAACACGCUUUCCAGAUAGUAAAUUCAGCUUUAACAUGGACCUACAGACCUGCAAAGAAAGAGCAAACUUUGCAAUGUGUGUUAGAAGCACAUAAAAAUGACCUGAAGCAGCCCCUACAGUGAGGGGGAGGCAGUUAAUAUGAGGUUAAUACCAUUACCAUCAUAUUGCUCUUGUAAAUGCACUCAGGAUUCUGAAAACUUGCAUGUCCAACUGAAGAUGUCAACUGCAAGAAGCCAAGGAGCAGUAAAAGGGUGAAUAUAAAUGCAAGGAAAGGGGUAGAUAAAAAGAAGCCCAUGUUUAAUAAUUUUACUUUAUUACUAUUACUGAUUCUUCCAUGAUACAAGAGAGUUUGUUCAUUUGUUUUUUCUUUAUUUUUCUGUCACAAAAUUGAAGCAAUAAAUAUUCUUUAAAUAGCUAUUUAAGAUUUAAAUUACACAAAGAAAAAAUAUUGGUUUUACAUAGAUAAGAUUUGUUUAUUUUUGCCUGAGGAAGACAGAAACUUAAGUUUAGAUCCUUGAAAAAUGGUAUUGAAAGAUGUUUUAGUGUCUCAACACAAGGAAAUAACCUUCUACUUCAGUUAAACUCAUGCAACCUGAUGUUCAUUUGGAACAGUUCCCUCGCAAUCUUCCACACACUCUUUUUCCUUCUACAUACUCUUCUUUCAGAUUUGUAUGUACCACCCUUUACAUUUAAAAAGAAUUCACAGGGAUAUAUUUAUAUAUAUAUAUAUAUAUAUAUAUACAAAUAUAUAUAUAUAUAUAUAUACACAUUUGAUAUAUUUGUAUUUUGUAUAUAUUUGUUCAAGCACUUGAAGAAGAAAGAUUUUUAUGCUUUGCUGUCUACUUUUAAGAUAUUUAAUCCUAACAGAAUGCUAUUGGAAUAAAAUUUUUAAUUUCAGUUUCAAGUAACAUAGAAUGGAAGAAACACUUGAUAUAAUGUAUUUAUUUUUGUAACAACUUACUCUGACAGGACUUCAUUAUACUUCAGGCUAUCAACUGGAGCAUCUGUUCACAUAUCCCUUAAACGGUGAAGUGGGCAAUGUAUCAGUACAAAGUGCAUGCCAAAACAUCAGAGUGAUACUAGGAUCAGUCCUUCCUAAGUGAAAAUUAAUACCUUUAGUCAAACUUUUGCAUAUGUCCUUUCUGGGAAAAAAAAAAAAAAGGGGAGAAUAUAUCCCACACAUUACCAGAAUAUAUUAGCUGCUACCCACAAAAAAGUAACAUGUAAAUAAAAACAUUAAGAAAGACUACACAGAAUAUGGUUUCCCCAAGACAAUACUUCUGCAGGACAAGCAGCCUAUAGCCAAAGUAGAUUGGAGCUAUUCUACCACCAGGUAAAAAAUUUCAAAACUGAAGGCAUCUGUGAAGCUACUCAUUUUCACUUUUUUUUACACAUAUUACAGCUACUUCAAGCAGAUCUCAAAAUCUGAAAGACUGUGGGGUUUGAUUGAAACUAGUGCUAAUUCCUUACUAACUGUGCUAAUUCAGCAAAAUGGUAAAGCUGAGCUGAAUCAUCAUGCAAAUCUGUGAGAAGCUUUAAAAUACUAGCUGCAAAAUGAAAACACAUUUUACAUUUAUUCAUAAAGCCAAGAGACUAAAAUUCUGAAUCUUCCUUAUGUCUGCUGAACUUUGCAAUACACUACAGAGCAAGAAUAAUAAUAUUAAAAAUUUAAAAAUAAACUCCAAACCUAGUAUGAGGUACAAUCACAACCAUUUGGAAUAGAAUUUGCUAUCCUUUAUUUCACAUUAUGAUAAUGUGCAGAGAGCAUACAUUUCCUGAUAGAGCCAUCCGUUAUGUUUACAUUCCAGUACAAGGCACAUGCACAGUAUGCUUCAUUAAAAAGUAGCAUGUAAGAGAAACAGGCACACAGUUUGCAUCAGAAUUCUAGCUGCAGAGGACCCUAAAAAUAUCUACAACUGCACUUCCAGAUUCACGUUCAGUUUUCAAUCUCCUAUAAGCCAAAACACCUGAAUAAUAACAUGAAAUUGGCCACUGCUCUGAAAUCCAUUGACCACCUUUUCUCACAAGAGAGUAAAUAUGGUAGAAGCUACACAACCACAUUCAAGUGUUGCCUCAAAACAGACUACUACUUGCAAGCUCCAAAGAAGUUCUGCAGCUUUCAAAACAUGCAAAAAACUGAUAAACACUCCCAGCCUUCCAAACGUCAGAGAGCAUACAGGCAUAACUCCAGAGACAAGAUAUCUUUGUUGAAGAUACUGCUCCAGAAAACAAUUCAGAGGAGGAACUUAACCUGUCUUCUUCCUGAAAUUGAUCCACAGAAUUCCUUCUUCACUAACAGUACAAAGAGAUAAGCCUUCCUGGAAACUAUAUUUUGUCUGAAUAGGCUCUACUUGAGUAGGGAAAGAUGCCUAGAGGAUUCAAGAUAAGCAUCUUCCAUUGCUGCAAAUUGUUGGUCCAAAAGUUGUGACUGACCAGAAGGCACUAUGGUUACACGCCAGCAUUUCAAAGGUCCUGAGCAGGCUGAAAACAAUGAGACUGCAUACAUUGGGUAGCAAUUGACCCCAAACUCCUUAGUCUACUAUUUCCUAUCUGCUAUAUGUCUCACUGAAUACUCAAAAUCAAGAUUCAAAACAGCUCAGCAGAGGAGGAAGAAAGAGUACCCAAAAAUUUUUAAAGGUAAGAAAAAAAUUAAAGUAAGAAAAAUUAAGGGGUCAGUUAAAUUUUUUUCUGUUCAAAAUUAUGGCAAACUUCUUAUUUAAUUUCCAGGAAAUUUAAUUAAAAUGUGGUGAGAUUUAAUGUAGAUGAGUUGUCAUUUACAGGAGGACUCAGUACUUCAGUAAGCCUAAAGACAAGAAGCCUAAGAACAUCUAUGGAUUAUAUUUCAUGCAGGACUGAGUGGGAUUGAGUGCAAGUUUGCUGAUUACACCAAGGUGUGCGGUCUAGUUGAGAUGCUGGAGAGAAGGGAUGCUGUCCAGAUGGACCUUGACAGACUUCAGAGGUCGGCCCAUGUGAACUUCACAAAAUUGAACAAGGCAAAGUGCAAGGUGCUGCAUCUGGGUCAGAGCAAUUCCAAGCUCAAAUAUGGUCUGAGUAGAGAGUGGAUUGAGAGAAGCCCAGAGAAGAUGGACUUGUGGGUGUUGGUUGAUGACAGGCUUAAAUAUGAGCUGGCAACAUGUUUUCAGACCAGAGAGGAAAUCAUGUCCUGAGCUGCAUCAAAAGAAGCAUGGCUAGCAGGGUGAAGCAGGUGUUCUUCUCCCUCUCCUCUCCUGAGAUCUCACCUGAAGUGCUGCAUCCAGCUCUGAGUUCCCCAGCAUAAGAAGGAUGUGAACCUGCUAAAGCGAGAUCAGAGGAGGGCCACGAAAGAUGAUCAGAGGUCUGGAACCCCUCAUCUGUGAGGACAGGCUGAGGGAGUUGGUGUUUUCCAGCCUGGAGAAGAGCAGGAUCCAAGGAGACCUUAUAGCACCCUCCCACUACCUUAAGGGGACCUACAAGAAGGCUGGGGGGACUUGUCACAAGGACAUAUAGUGAUAAGACAAGAGGCAAUGUUUUUAAACUAAAAGAGGGUAGGUUUAGAUAGGUAUUAGGAAGAAAUACUUUACUGUGAAGGUACUGGAAUAGAUUCCUCAGAAAAGCUGUGAAUGCCCCAUUCCUGAAAGUGUUCAAGGCCAGGUUGGAUGGGGAUUUGAGACACCUGGUCUAGAGGAAACUUUCCCUGCCCAUGGCAGAGAUGUUGGAAGGAGAUGAUCUUUAAGGUCCCUUCCAAGCCAAAGAGGUCUAUGAUUCUAUGAUCAAAGUCUUUACAUGUCCAAAUUCUAAUGUUUGCAAAAAGCCUGAAAAAGUAAAUACAUCUCUGAAAUGCCACUUGUAUUGUGUGUAGCUGGCAAAAUGAGGGCUACAGGGAUGGCUGCUUUGGCAGGAGUUUAGAAUGAGUCUUGUCCCAGACUCAGCUGGUUUCAGCCUUCUCCACAAGGGACCCACAACAGGACAAGGUAGAAGUUGUUGGCUAUUUGUACAUUUUCUCUGGCAUAGCAUAUUUAAAGAGAGAGGAGAAAGUGUAAGAAAUGAUCCUGCAAGCAACAAGGUCUGACAAGAAGGGUGAGGAUGUGCUCAGACAUUCCCUUGUAACUCUUGCUGGAGCAAUUUAUUUCCCUACAGCCCAUGUACUUGACCACUUUGGAAUAAAUAUCCAUCUUGCAGCCCUCGAAGGACAGAGCUCUGGAAUGUUGUUGUUUAUUUACUUUUAAGAUUAAGAUAUAAAAGAAUGUGUAGUUUGUGUGUAUAUUUUCAGAUUUCCAGACCUACUAUCUAUUAAUCCUAAUGCAUCACAAUUGAUCAAAGUUACUUUCCAAUGCAAGAUUCAUGACAGUUUUGAGUUAAAUUAUUGUACUUCCUGAAGUUUGGAAUUCCAGAGAUAUAUAACACAAGUUUAGGAAGAUUUACUUGCUAUCAAAUAUCAUAUUCUAAUUCAAACAUUUAUAUUAUAGGAAAUUAGAUUAUUGGACUCAAAUCAAAAGGAAGAUAUAGAACUAUUAUGAUAUGUCUUUUACGAAGAAUUACCUUUAGAUUUUUCACACUCUUCUUGUUUAGUUAAGUAACAAAUAAUUUCUGUACAUAGAUCUACAAAUGUGAACAGGCAUAGAUACAUAAGAUAAAUGCUUAAGCACUUACAUGUAUUAAAAGAACGGACAUGUGUCUAGCCCUGGAGACAGUAUGCUUUGUAUCUGGAUUUCAGAUUAUAGCAAACACUUUUGAUUAUUUGCAUGUACAAAGCUGUAUUUGGCAGUACAUUUUAACUUCUUAUAGUUAAGUGAGUCGCAGGUGAGAGAUUAUGCUAAAACAUAAUUUUAAAUGCUAAAACACCAUUGGAGAAUGUUAGUUCUCUGACAAUAAAGAGAUUGACUCU
Non-coding RNA from Taeniopygia guttata (zebra finch), 6481 nucleotides. Lineage: Eukaryota; Metazoa; Chordata; Aves; Passeriformes; Estrildidae. The record is from RefSeq and is a predicted model, not a curated record.